Molecule: non-coding RNA, 216 nt
Filed under: Acidithiobacillales bacterium
Lineage: Bacteria; Pseudomonadati; Pseudomonadota; Acidithiobacillia; Acidithiobacillales
Source: RNAcentral
AAAUGGUCCAUCGCUUCAGGUGCUCCGCGGGACCUUCGUCCCCGGAGUGAAACGGGAAGCCGGUGCGCGUGAUGAACGCAAUUCCGGCGCUGCCCCCGCAACGGUAAGCGAGCUCGGGCGAAUCACAGUGCCACUGCAUCGAAGUCUGGUGCGGGAAGGCGAUUCACCCAGCCAAUGCUCGCGAGCCCGGAGACCGGCCUGAAGCUGUCCGAGACG